GAUGAAGAACGUAGCGAAAUGCGAUAAGUAGUGUGAAUUGCAGAAUUCAGUGAAUCAUCGAAUCUUUGAACGCACAUUGCGCCCCUCGGUAUUCCGUGGGGCAUGCCUGUUCGAGCGUCAUCUACACCCUCAAGCUCUGCUUGGUGUUGGGCGUCUGUCCCGCCUCCGCGCGUGGACUCGCCCCAAAUUCAUUGGCAGCGGUCCUUGCCUCCUCUCGCGCAGCACAUUGCGCUUCUCGAGGGGCUACGGCUCGCGUCCAACAAGCACAUUUACCGUCUUUGACCUCGGAUCAGGUAGGGAUACCCGCUGAACUUAAGCAUAUCAUAAGCGGAGGA
This 335-nucleotide unclassified non-coding RNA is filed under the name soil metagenome. Its description in RNAcentral is "partial contains 5.8S ribosomal RNA, internal transcribed spacer 2, and large subunit ribosomal RNA". The stretch from base 1 to 120 matches the Rfam family "5.8S ribosomal RNA", at positions 35 to 154 of the family's 154-position model. The record is from RNAcentral.